RNAcentral lists this transfer RNA (65 nucleotides) under Ictidomys tridecemlineatus (thirteen-lined ground squirrel). RNAcentral's name for it is "Spermophilus tridecemlineatus (thirteen-lined ground squirrel) tRNA". It matches the Rfam family "tRNA". From Rfam's summary of the family: Transfer RNA (tRNA) molecules are approximately 80 nucleotides in length. Their secondary structure includes four short double-helical elements and three loops (D, anti-codon, and T loops). The record is from Rfam by way of RNAcentral. Lineage: Eukaryota; Metazoa; Chordata; Mammalia; Rodentia; Sciuridae.
GAUGCAGCUCAGCGACUGAGCACUUGCCUAGCACGCAGGAGGCCCUGGGUUCAAUUCCCAGCAUC